This 23-nucleotide small RNA is filed under the name Caenorhabditis elegans. RNAcentral's name for it is "Unclassified non-coding RNA F14D2.16". Lineage: Eukaryota; Metazoa; Nematoda; Chromadorea; Rhabditida; Rhabditidae. The record is from RNAcentral.
GUUUGAAUCGAUUUCUGUGAGAC